AAUGGGACCUAUAUCAUCAGCCGUACGUGCCAGCCGUAUUGAAUUUGGGCAGUGAACAGACAACACGCCCUCCUCUUCCCGCGCUGAAGAGCGUCCAUCAUUGUAAAUUUUAGUUUUAAUUGAAGAACAAUCUUGAGAGUGGAAAGUUCACACUUUGACGUCUCUUUCCAGAAGGGGACGCUUACUUACGUGCCAGCAGCCGCGGUAAUACGUAGGUCCCGAGCGUUAUCCGGAUUUAUUGGGCGUAAAGCGAGCGCAGGCGGUUAGAUAAGUCUGAAGUUAAAGGCUGUGGCUUAACCAUAGUACGCUUUGGAAACUGUUUAACUUGAGUGCAAGAGGGGAGAGUGGAAUUCCAUGUGUAGCGGUGAAAUGCGUAGAUAUAUGGAGGAACACCGGUGGCGAAAGCGGCUCUCUGGCUUGUAACUGACGCUGAGGCUCGAAAGCGUGGGGAGCAAACAGG
RNAcentral lists this ribosomal RNA (460 nucleotides) under uncultured Parvimonas sp. RNAcentral's name for it is "bacterial SSU rRNA". It matches the Rfam family "Bacterial small subunit ribosomal RNA", at positions 318 to 776 of the family's 1533-position model. The record is from RNAcentral. Lineage: Bacteria; Bacillati; Bacillota; Tissierellia; Tissierellales; Peptoniphilaceae.